CUCUGUGAUGAAACCUGUGAAUAGGAAGUGCCGUCUUAUGCGAUAACUGACGAUUUAUUUCACAAUUAAUCUGAGA
Molecule: small nucleolar RNA, 76 nt
Organism: Clarias gariepinus (North African catfish)
Lineage: Eukaryota; Metazoa; Chordata; Actinopteri; Siluriformes; Clariidae
Product: small nucleolar RNA SNORD49
Exons: 1
Source: RefSeq, a predicted model, not a curated record